GAUGAACGCUGACAGAAUGCUUAACACAUGCAAGUCGAUGGGGAAGUGGUGCUUUCACCAUGGCCACCAUGGCGGACGGGUGAGUAACGCGUAAGGGACUUACCUGCAGGACUGGGAUAACAGGGGGAAACUCCUGACAAGACCGGAUAAUGUCAUGGAGCUUCCUGGCUUUAUGAUGAAAGGAGACGCCUGCGGAGAGCCUUGCGUCCUAUUAGCUAGUUGGUGAGGUAAUGGCUCACCAAGGCGAAGAUAGGUAGCCGGCCUGAGAGGGUGGACGGCCACAAGGGGACUGAGAUACGGCCAUUACUCCUACGGGAGGAAGCAGUGGGGAAUAUUGGACAAUGGGGGCAACCCUGAUCCAGCAAUUCUGUGUGCACGAAGAAGGUUUUCGGAUUGUAAAGGGCUUUCAGCAGGGAAGAAGUAAGUGACGGUACCUGCAGAAGAAGCGACGGCUAAAUACGUG
Molecule: ribosomal RNA, 463 nt
Filed under: uncultured bacterium
Lineage: Bacteria
Description: partial 16S ribosomal RNA
Rfam family: Bacterial small subunit ribosomal RNA
Source: RNAcentral